CAGUCACCGGUUUCACCCCGCUCCCACACAGCCUGCAGUCCUAAAGGCCCGUCUCACUCCCACCGUGAGCAGCUUGGAGUCAGUUUCCAGGAAGCCAGUGACCCGGGCUGAGAAUUUGCCUCAGACCACAAGCCUCCCCAUUGAGAAAGCAAGCAGACUCAGUUUUUUGGCGUCUUAGGGACCCCGCAGCAAGUUCCUUCAAAGGGCUGCUCCGUCUAUCCAAGUGGGAGCUGCAAGCAAGUCCUGCCUCCUCUCCGCCAUCUUAACCCCUCAACCAGUAAAUGUUUAAAGACACAAAUCUCAAGCCCUCUCAGUCUCCACUCUUCAAAAGUCCGUCCUUUCCUGACUUUACGUGGCAGAAAGACAAUCUGCCUUGCAGCAAGUUUAUGGAUAACACGGAGUUCCCCUGCAAUGAAUAUGUGAACCCUCUGUUCUUCAGGAUAGCACUUGGGAUGAUGUGGAGUUGCUCAGGCCAGGACCUCCAGUACCAUACUGAAUUGAAAUGGUAAGUGAACAUCUUUGUCUUAUUCCUGGUCUUAGAGUAAAAGCUUUAAACUUUUACCAUUGAGUAUGAUAUUAGUU
Long non-coding RNA from Homo sapiens (human), 582 nucleotides. RefSeq lists it as uncharacterized. The record is from RefSeq and is a predicted model, not a curated record. The transcript is spliced from 4 exons. Lineage: Eukaryota; Metazoa; Chordata; Mammalia; Primates; Hominidae.